UGCAGAUAUUGGAGUUUUGAUUUCAGUGCACCAAUUUUAAUCAAAUUUGAAUUUGCAUGCAUUUAUGCUUGCAGUGUGGUCUUGAUUGUAUCAUGACUUAUACUUUAUAAAGAUAUUCUUUAUUUCAGCAAAGAUGAAGAUCACUUAAUUCAAUAUAUAUGCUGAAUAAAAUGUGUUGGUAUAUCAGCAACAUUGAAUUUGUUUAUUUUCUUGCAACGGACUCCUUGAAUGACAUGGAAGUCAUUUUCGUACAAGGGGGAGUUUGUAGUAGGGUGAAUUAACAUCAAUAAUUUAUUUUAUUUUUAGUGUAAAUAAAAUAUGUAAGUUGCAAAACAUAAACUUUUAUUGGAUUAUAUAAUGGUCUUCCAUAUUUCUCUAUUUAGAUAUGUAGUAAUGUAAUUAUGACCUUAAUGGCUUUCCUUAUGAUUAAACCAUGCAUGCAGUUGUUGUUCAUGGUCUAUUUAAUUCAUUUUGGUUGGCUAAGCUUAGUGUCAAAGGUUAUAUGUCAUGGGUUUUGUGAGUUCUGUUGGAUUUUUAGAUAGUCAGUUGUAUUCACUAGCAGAGUGUUGAAGGGUGGUUUUCUUUGCAUAUCUUUUGACAUCUUUUUUCUGACUUGAGGUAAGAAAAUGAAUCUUAACAUAUUAAUUGGUGUGAAUGUGUUAAUGAAUGAAAGAAAUGAAAUUAUGUACUUUAUUUCAUAUUUAACAAAGGAGUAAAAUAGAAUUAAUAUUUUAUACAGGUUCCUUGAAAAUCAGUUAUCUUCCUAUUUUUGAUAUUUUGGCUCUGGUACCAUAUAUCUGAGCUGCUAUUUACAUGUCAGAAAUAGAUUUAUUUCUUCAAUAAACUCAUAACCUGUAA
Long non-coding RNA from Ostrea edulis (European flat oyster), 858 nucleotides. RefSeq lists it as uncharacterized. The record is from RefSeq and is a predicted model, not a curated record. The transcript is spliced from 2 exons. NCBI's taxonomy places the organism in Eukaryota, Metazoa, Mollusca, Bivalvia, Ostreida, Ostreidae.